AGAGUUUGAUCCUGGCUCAGGAUGAACGCUAGCGGCAGGCUUAACACAUGCAAGUCGAGGGGUAACGAUGUCCUCGGACAGGCGACGACCGGCGCACGGGUGCGUAACGCGUAUGCAACCUACCUUUAACUGGAGGAUAGCCCCGAGAAAUCGGGAUUAAUACUCCAUAACAAUGAGAUUUGGCAUCAUUUUUCAUUUAAAGUUCCGGCGGUUAAAGAUGGGCAUGCGUGACAUUAGCUGGUUGGUAAGGUAACGGCUUACCAAGGCAACGAUGUCUAGGGGUUCUGAGAGGAUGAUCCCCCACACUGGUACUGAGACACGGACCAGACUCCUACGGGAGGCAGCAGUGAGGAAUAUUGGUCAAUGGACGCAAGUCUGAACCAGCCAUGCCGCGUGCAGGAUGACGGCCCUAUGGGUUGUAAACUGCUUUUAUUAAGGAAUAAACUCUCGUUCGUGAACGAGACUGAACGUACUUAAAGAAUAAGCAUCGGCUAACUCCGUGCCAGCAGCCGCGGUAAUACGGAGGAUGCAAGCGUUAUCCGGAUUCAUUGGGUUUAGAGGGUUCGCAGGCGGCGUAUUAAGUCAGUGGUGAAAUCCCCCGGCUCAACCGGGGAACUGCCAUUGAUACUGGUAUGCUAGAGUAUAGUUGGCGUAGGCGGAAUAUUUCAUGUAGCGGUGAAAUGCUUAGAUAUGAAAUAGAACACCGAUCGCGAAGGCAGCUUACGAAGCUAUAACUGACGCUCAGGAACGAAAGCGUGGGGAGCGAACAGGAUUAGAUACCCUGGUAGUCCACGC
This 795-nucleotide ribosomal RNA is filed under the name uncultured bacterium. RNAcentral describes it as "bacterial SSU rRNA". It matches the Rfam family "Bacterial small subunit ribosomal RNA", at positions 8 to 800 of the family's 1533-position model. The record is from RNAcentral.